GCCGGGCAUGGUGGCGCAUGCCUGUAAUCCCAGUGGCGCAGGAGGCUGAGGCAGGAAGAUCACAAGUUCAAAGGCAGCCAUAGCAACUUAGUGAGGCCCUAUGCAACUCAGCGAGACCCUGUCUCUA
Molecule: small RNA, 127 nt
Filed under: Marmota monax (woodchuck)
Lineage: Eukaryota; Metazoa; Chordata; Mammalia; Rodentia; Sciuridae
Source: RNAcentral